GAUAAGUGGUUAUAAGAGAAAAUCUGUAACAAAGGCUAACAAGCAAAGGAAACAGCAAGGAUAUUGAAAAAAAAAAAGAGAAAAUCAAGAGAUGUAUGGAUAAAAUAGACAUCAUCCAAGCUACCACAGGAUUUCCGAAUUGGAAGCAUUUGGAUGAUGUAGCCUGACACCUCCCAAUUCACUAUGAAUGGUGUAGAAGUCAUGUUUCCAUGAUGCUCUGAGAUUUUAUCCAUCACCAUGAAAGAACAUACCCAGUAUACCCUACUGUCUAAAGUAAAUAGACAGUGACAAGUGA
This 295-nucleotide long non-coding RNA is filed under the name Mus musculus (house mouse). RNAcentral describes it as "predicted gene 17215, transcript variant 2 (Gm17215)". Lineage: Eukaryota; Metazoa; Chordata; Mammalia; Rodentia; Muridae. The record is from RNAcentral.